RNAcentral lists this ribosomal RNA (306 nucleotides) under Triticum aestivum (bread wheat). RNAcentral's name for it is "partial small subunit ribosomal RNA". The record is from RNAcentral. Lineage: Eukaryota; Viridiplantae; Streptophyta; Magnoliopsida; Poales; Poaceae.
AUGUCCGGGAGCUUUGUCUGCCUCCUCUACGUCGACCACGCACAUAAGAUCAAGGCCGGAGACCCUACCUCGACUGGAUCGAGCUCGUCCUCGCCUUCGGUCACCAACGCCACUCCGACGAACUACACCACCCCCUGCGCUUCUAGUCACUCACCGGGCCUUCGUGCGCCUCCUUGGUGGUGGAUCCUUGGAGCCAGAUGCCACCGCCGACGGAUACUGCUACUUGGAGACCGCCGCCGACGAGGAGUAGUUAGGAGGUCCCAGGCAAGAGGCCUUGCCUCUUCGAUCGUGUUGCUUUUGUGCUAG